RNAcentral lists this long non-coding RNA (449 nucleotides) under Naja naja (Indian cobra). RNAcentral describes it as "lncRNA (ENSNNAG00000017879.1)". The record is from RNAcentral. Lineage: Eukaryota; Metazoa; Chordata; Lepidosauria; Squamata; Elapidae.
GGGGAAGUGGCCAGCGCGCCUUUUAGGUCGCAAAACGCGAUCUAAGAGGAAGUGCGCGCGCGCGCGUGUGUGAAUCCUUUUUCUCCUCCCUCCCUCCCCCUCACUAACCUCCCCCACCCCGCAAAAGUGACCGGUGGGUUUGUUUGAAUCCGGUAAAGAGAGAGGCACAAAAUGCCUCCCCAUCUGCGCGGGAAACGUGCCUCGGCGGCUGGAACAGCUAGUGCCUUCUCCCCGCCUGGGCUGUCUGGCGAGCGACGGAUUGAAAACUCCUUUCUCGCCUUUUCAGCGAAGCCCCGGCAGGAAGAAGAUCUUGGUGAACUUUGAGGCGUCGCGGUGCCCCCUCCGCUUUCUCUUGCACGGAUCCUGUGAGAAGAGGAGGAGGCUGCCUUUUCCAGGCUCUGACAGAUUUAGAUUGGGCUACUUCCUGAGGAAUUCUGUGUCAUUGGUGG